Molecule: long non-coding RNA, 342 nt
Organism: Mya arenaria
Lineage: Eukaryota; Metazoa; Mollusca; Bivalvia; Myida; Myidae
Exons: 2
Source: RefSeq, a predicted model, not a curated record
UUUCGAUCCGCCAUAUUGCUCAUGUGUUGUACGAAUAUUGACGAGAUAGAAAUAGUCAAUUACUCCUCUAGAGUCUCGACUGUACAUUUUUAAAAUUAUACAAUAAGCUAGUGUCACUGUGUUUUCUGCUACUGAACAUGAGGUUGAUGGGGCAAUUUGGAUUCUGUCUGAAGUACGCUCCAGACAGACAACGGGGUGGAGGACGAACUGUUUACACACGUUAAUUAACCUACAUCUCUAAACAUAUAAAUUUACCAUGUGUCAUUAGUUUAAUGUGCCUUUAUCAUUUAACAGUUUGAGUGUCUGUACAGAUUUGUUGUGAAAAUUAAACUUGUACAUUCC